GACGAACGCUGGCGGCGUGCUUAACACAUGCAAGUCGAGCGGUAAGGCCCUUUCGGGGGUACACGAGCGGCGAACGGGUGAGUAACACGUGGGUGACCUGCCCUUAGCUCUGGGAUAAGCCUGGGAAACUGGGUCUAAUACCGGAUAUGACUCCAUGACGCAUGUUGUGGGGUGGAAAGCCUUGUGCGGCUAGGGAUGGGCCCGCGGCCUAUCAGCUUGUUGGUGGGGUGAUGGCCUACCAAGGCGACGACGGGUAGCCGGCCUGAGAGGGCGACCGGCCACACUGGGACUGAGACACGGCCCAGACUCCUACGGGAGGCAGCAGGUGGGGAAUCUUGCGCAAGUGGGCGAAAGCCUGACGCAGCGACGCCGCGUGAGGGAUGAC
RNAcentral lists this ribosomal RNA (385 nucleotides) under uncultured bacterium. RNAcentral's name for it is "bacterial SSU rRNA". It matches the Rfam family "Bacterial small subunit ribosomal RNA", at positions 28 to 412 of the family's 1533-position model. The record is from RNAcentral.